This 247-nucleotide ribosomal RNA is filed under the name uncultured bacterium. RNAcentral describes it as "partial 16S ribosomal RNA". It matches the Rfam family "Bacterial small subunit ribosomal RNA", at positions 524 to 776 of the family's 1533-position model. The record is from RNAcentral.
UACGUAGGGUGCGAGCGUUGUCCGGAAUUACUGGGCGUAAAGGCUCGUAGGCGGCCAACUAAGUCGGACGUGAAUCCCUCGGCUUAACCGGGGAACUGCGUCCGAUACUGGAUGGCUUGAGUUUGGGAGAGGAUGCGGAAUUCCAGGUGUAGCGGUGAAAUGCGUAGAUAUCUGGAGGAACACCGGUGGCGAAGCGGCAUCCUGGACCAACACUGACGCUGAGGAGCGAAGCCAGGGAGCAAACGGG